RNAcentral lists this ribosomal RNA (466 nucleotides) under uncultured bacterium. RNAcentral's name for it is "bacterial SSU rRNA". It matches the Rfam family "Bacterial small subunit ribosomal RNA", at positions 330 to 794 of the family's 1533-position model. The record is from RNAcentral.
GCCAGACUCCUACGGGAGGCAGCAGUGAGGAAUAUUGGUCAAUGGCCGAGAGGCUGAACCAGCCAAGUCGCGUGAGGGAAGAAUGUCCUAUGGAUUGUAAACCUCUUUUGUCAGGGAGCAAAGUCACCCACGUGUGGGUGUUGGAGAGUACCUGAAGAAAAAGCAUCGGCUAACUCCGUGCCAGCAGCCGCGGUAAUACGGAGGAUGCGAGCGUUAUCCGGAUUUAUUGGGUUUAAAGGGUGCGCAGGCGGCGAGUUAAGUCGGCGGUAAAAUUUCGGGGCUCAACCCCGACAAGCCGUUGAAACUGGCUUGCUAGAGUGGGCGAGAAGUAUGCGGAAUGCGUGGUGUAGCGGUGAAAUGCAUAGAUAUCACGCAGAACUCCGAUUGCGAAGGCAGCAUACCGGCGCCCAACUGACGCUCAGGCACGAAAGCGUGGGUAUCGAACAGGAUUAGAUACCCGUGUAAU